This 520-nucleotide ribosomal RNA is filed under the name Carabus seishinensis seunglaki. Its description in RNAcentral is "partial 16S ribosomal RNA". It matches the Rfam family "Bacterial large subunit ribosomal RNA", at positions 1830 to 2599 of the family's 2925-position model. Lineage: Eukaryota; Metazoa; Arthropoda; Insecta; Coleoptera; Carabidae. The record is from RNAcentral.
GUCCUUUUGUGUUUUAUUUAAGGUCUAGUCUGCCCACUGAAUUUAAAUUUUAAAUGGCCGCAGUAUUUUGACUGUGCAAAGGUAGCAUAAUCAUUAGUUUUUUAAUUAAAAGCUUGUAUGAAAGGCUGGACGAGGUAAAAUCUGUCUCUAUGUAAAUUAAAAUAGAAUUUAACUUUUAAGUUAAAAGGCUUAAAUAUUAUUAAAAGACGAGAAGACCCUAUAGAUCUUUAUAUAUUAUUAAAUAGAAUUAAUUUAGAAAUAUUUAUGUUUUAUUUAUUUAAAGUAUUUUAUUGGGGUAAUAGAAAGAUUGAAUUAAUUCUUUUUUACGAUAAACAUUAAUUUAUGAGUGUUAAUGAUCCAAUUUUAUUGAUUAUAAGAUUAAGUUACCUUAGGGAUAACAGCGUAAUUUUUUUAGAGAGUUCAUAUCGAUAAAAAAGCUUGCGACCUCGAUGUUGGAUUAAAGAUUAUUUUAGGUGUAGAAGCUUAAUAAUUUUGGUCUGUUCGACCAUUAAAUCUUUAC